This 468-nucleotide ribosomal RNA is filed under the name uncultured bacterium. RNAcentral's name for it is "partial 16S ribosomal RNA". It matches the Rfam family "Bacterial small subunit ribosomal RNA", at positions 28 to 507 of the family's 1533-position model. The record is from RNAcentral.
GACGAACGCUGGCGGCGUGCUUAACACAUGCAAGUCGAACGGAAAGGCCCUGCUUUUGUGGGGUGCUCGAGUGGCGAACGGGUGAGUAACACGUGAGUAACCUGCCCUUGACUUUGGGAUAACUUCAGGAAACUGGGGCUAAUACCGGAUAGGAGCUCCUGCUGCAUGGUGGGGGUUGGAAAGUUUCGGCGGUUGGGGAUGGACUCGCGGCUUAUCAGCUUGUUGGUGGGGUAGUGGCUUACCAAGGCUUUGACGGGUAGCCGGCCUGAGAGGGUGACCGGCCACAUUGGGACUGAGAUACGGCCCAGACUCCUCCGGGAGGCAGCAGUGGGGAAUAUUGCACAAUGGGCGGAAGCCUGAUGCAGCAACGCAGCGUGCGGGAUGACGGCCUUCGGGUUGUAAACCGUUUUCGCCUGUGACGAAGCGUGAGUGACGGUAAUGGGUAAAGAAGCACCGGCUAACUACGUG